Long non-coding RNA from Arachis duranensis, 589 nucleotides. RefSeq lists it as uncharacterized. The transcript is spliced from 6 exons. NCBI's taxonomy places the organism in Eukaryota, Viridiplantae, Streptophyta, Magnoliopsida, Fabales, Fabaceae. The record is from RefSeq and is a predicted model, not a curated record.
CAUCGCCCUGCCGUUGCUACCGCCACAGCCACCGCCACUGCUACAGCCAUUCAUCUGCCAGCGGCGAAGAAAGCGAUGAAAAGCAAAGCUUCUCCUCCAAAAACAAAUUCUCUUCCCGCAAUGCUUCUUCCAAGUACGAUUUCGUUAAGGUGAAGGUGCGGUUGGGUGAUAAUGCGGAUCACUACUAUGUUCUGUCUAGAUUUUUGCUCAGUAGGUGCGGUUGGAUGAUAAUGCUGCAAUGUGGAUUCGAUUUGGAAAAUGGCCAGUGCUGGUUUAUCUGGAACUCUUUUGUCAGGAAUUGGAAAUUUGAGCCAUCUCCGAACAUUGUUACUACAGAACAAUCAGUUAUCUGGUCCUAUCGCGGCUGAGAUAGGCAAGUUGUCAGAGCUUCAAACUCUAGAACUUUCCAGUAACCAGUUUGUUGGAGGAAUUCCUAGUUCUUUGGGCUUAUUGUCUCAACUAAGUUACUUGUGGCUCAGCAAAAAUAAUCUAUCUGGACAGAUCCCUCCACUUGUUACUAACUUGACAGGGACUUGUCAUUUAAUAAUCUCAGUGGUCCCACUCCAAAAAUUUUGGCAAAAGGUUACAU